Long non-coding RNA from Pezoporus flaviventris, 1375 nucleotides. RefSeq lists it as uncharacterized. The record is from RefSeq and is a predicted model, not a curated record. The transcript has 3 exons. Lineage: Eukaryota; Metazoa; Chordata; Aves; Psittaciformes; Psittacidae.
CUGGGAAAGGAGCGUCCUGGACAGUUUCCUUCAUUAACUGGUGGGGUUGGAGCAAAGCAGAUCUUGGGAAUGCAAAACAAUGUGCUCCAGUGGAGUUCUGGGGACAAGAGUAGUUAGGAGCCAAGAAGCCAGCUGCCUCUACAAAGAUUCAAAUUUCAGAGAUCUUCAAUGAUACCUCGUGGUAGUGGUGAUGAUGCUGUAGCUCUGCAACUCCCUCUAGGACCUAUGGAAGGUGGAGAUUUGUGCCUAUGCUGGUGGACAGAGCAGUUCCCAGGGCUGCUGAGUGCUGAGCAGGGGCUCUGUUGAACACUGAUCUGAAACAGCCAGAUCAAGAGAUGAUGCUUUUCAGCAAGAACCAGCCAUUCCUCCAGGAAUGUUUGGAGGAAUGUUUGCCAUGUUAUUAAAACCAUUUUCCACUCCUUUUUUCAUCCACUGCUUAGGAGACAACUGCCAAUUUAGGCUGAGAUUUUUCCCUUCAGAUGUACAGAUGAAGAGCUCACACCAUGCCUCAAAUGUGGGCAUGCACCAGAGGUCUUGGAGGGCACGUCCUGUGUGAGUUGUAGCUCACGUUCCACUUUUGUAAGGUUCCACAUAUCAGCAUCGGUCUGAAGACUGUGGUAGUGUUACAUUUGUUUGGUUGCAUACCGUUUGGGAUGGAAGUUCACCAUGCUUAUAGUGAGAUAUACAUACUCUAUAAAAAAUCAACUGGUGUACCUAAGGAGGGAUUUAUCAGUAAUAAAGAGCUCUGGAUAAUGAAGUCAAAACAAACACCAUCUUUCUAAUAGAUUUUUUGUUUGCCCAACAUGACAGAAAAUCUUUUAUACCCACCCCACCAUGUUUUUUGAACAUGAAAUUUUGCCUAAGUGGAAUAGGCAGGUAUGGCCAUACCCCCUUGCUGUCACCUCUCUGAGCAGUUUGGCUGCUGGAGAAGGCCGUUUUCUUCUUAUUCUGUGACUGUCCCUGUGGUAGCAUCGAGCAGAACUUGUCCCAGCUGGCAGAGCAUCCUGGGGACAGAGCUGGCUGGUGUCAGGGAGUGGGGAUGUAGGGUAAGAAGAUGCCUGGUGGCCAUGGUCCUUCUGGCUGCCCACUGACUGUCUGGUGGCAGAAAGAACAAAAUACCCGCAUGCAUGACAAAUGCUACUGUUGUAGAGACUGGUUGUGAAAAAUCACUGUUAGGUGGGGCUGCCGUGUGUGUCUGAUUCACAGUCUUUAGUUUAUGAAAAUUAUAAUUAUUUUGAUUUUUGUCCACAGACAGCUUGAAAUGUUACAAAACUCUGCAGGUGCUCUCUGUUAUAACAAAACCCCAGAACAGAUGGUGCAAGGUACCAGGCCAGCUCAAGGGAUUAAACACAAGGCUUUUGAAAUUUAAAAUUAA